Molecule: transfer RNA, 69 nt
Filed under: Ictidomys tridecemlineatus (thirteen-lined ground squirrel)
Lineage: Eukaryota; Metazoa; Chordata; Mammalia; Rodentia; Sciuridae
Also listed under: 1 other name
Description: Spermophilus tridecemlineatus (thirteen-lined ground squirrel) tRNA
Rfam family: tRNA
About the family: Transfer RNA (tRNA) molecules are approximately 80 nucleotides in length. Their secondary structure includes four short double-helical elements and three loops (D, anti-codon, and T loops).
Source: Rfam by way of RNAcentral
GGGGUUGUGGCUCAAUGGUAGAGCACUUGCCUCGCACGCAUGAGGCACUGGGUUUGAUCCUCAGCACCA